CUGAAGAUGAGACAAACCACUAAAAUUCAUAAAACUAAUUAAGUGCAAAAGAAAUUUAAAUUAUGUAUCCGGGGUUUAUACAAGACAAAAACAUAUGGGAAGCUGGAUUUCAGGACAAAAAAACCCCUUAAAUUCUCUGGAAAAUAGCCAAAAUUCUAGGGUCAACCUAUGAUUUUCAAAGGUUAUGAAAGUGGUGGGAUUUAAGUCAAGAUAGCUAAUGGUCAAAGAGGACUUGGUAAUAUCUGAGUUCCAGGUGGAAUGAAUGGAAAAUUGGCCAAAGAGGAAUCUGAAGGCCUAGGAAGGUGCAGGGUUCUAUGGGGCUCAAUAGCGGGGGAGGGGUGGUAGUCCAGUCUGCUCCUCUGACUGUUCCCUCCCUCAUUCUCAGGAACCCUUUGUGACAAGGUCACAGCUCUGUGAUGCAGGCCUGGGGUUCUGUCUUCAAGUAAAUUCCCAGUGCUCAGUUGCCUGAGGGCAGCAGUGCGAUUCCAAAGAUGGAGAAUUUCUUUUCUCUGAGAAGCACUGGUACCACCUGGCUGAGCUCCAGUCCCACCUCCUGGGUGAUUGAUACCAUCAUUGCUUUCCUGUGUGGACUUGGGCUGUUUCUUCUGUUGCUCCCCUGCUUUCAGAGUAAUCAGCCCUUACCACCAGCUAGGAAAUAUAUAAACACCAGGAAGCAUCAAGUGGAGCUGAGGAAGAGGAACAGGAGUAAGAAGAAAAGUGGAGCUUUGAAAGCUUGCAGAAAUUGCCUGAAAGAACUGGAGGGAGCUCGCAGCCUGAUUUCACUUCUGCAAGGGAACUUUUGAGCUCAUGACAAGUUUCACAGCAAAAGACUUCCCGACGGAUAUAUUGAUUGUUCAUCCCCUGAAAAAUAGAAGAAAAAACAAAUCCCAGUUCUUCAAAUAAAACCACUCUAAUUUUGGAGUGAUGAGAGGUGAGUUUAUUUAUUUAUUCAUGAGAGACACACAGAGAGAGACAGACAGAGAGAGUGAGAGAGAGAGAGAGGCAGAGACACAGGCAGAGGGAGAAGCAGGCUCCAUGCAGGGAGCCUGAUGUGGGACUCGAUCCCAGGACUCCAGGAUCUCACUAUGGGCUUAAGGCAGGCACUAAACCGCUGAGCCACCCAGGCAGGUAUCCUCAAAAGGUGAGUUUAAAUCCAGCCCCUGCCAUUUAUACUUUUUGUGAUUGUAGACAGAUUUCACGAUCACCAUGAUUUUGUUUCCUCAAUUGCAAAUGGGAAUAUAACGAUUGUCAGAAAAUGUAAAAAAAUUGAAAUGAAAAAAAUUUUAAAG
RNAcentral lists this long non-coding RNA (1289 nucleotides) under Canis lupus familiaris (dog). Its description in RNAcentral is "lncRNA (ENSCAFG00845002872.1)". Lineage: Eukaryota; Metazoa; Chordata; Mammalia; Carnivora; Canidae. The record is from RNAcentral.